AGAGUUUGAUCCUGGCUCAGAACGAACGCUGGCGGCAGGCCUAACACAUGCAAGUCGAACGCCCCGCAAGGGGAGUGGCAGACGGGUGAGUAACACGUGGGAACCUUCCCUAUAGUACGGAAUAGCCCAGGGAAACUUGGAGUAAUACCGUAUACGCCCGAAAGGGGAAAGAAUUUCGCUAUAGGAUGGGCCCGCGUAGG
Molecule: ribosomal RNA, 200 nt
Filed under: uncultured bacterium
Lineage: Bacteria
Description: partial 16S ribosomal RNA
Rfam family: Bacterial small subunit ribosomal RNA
Source: RNAcentral